AGUGAACGCUGGCGGCAGGCCUAACACAUGCAAGUCGGACGGUAGCACAGAGGAGCUUGCUCCUCGGGUGACGAGUGGCGGACGGGUGAGUAAUGUCUGGGGAUCUGCCCGAUAGAGGGGGAUAACCACUGGAAACGGUGGCUAAUACCGCAUAACGUCGCAAGACCAAAGAGGGGGACCUUCGGGCCUCCCACUAUGGGAUGAACCCAGAUGGGAUUAGCUAGUAGGCGAGGUAACGGCCCACCUAGGCGACGAUCCCUAGCUGGUCUGAGAGGAUGACCAGCCACACUGGAACUGAGACACGGUCCAGACUCCUACGGGAGGCAGCAGUGGGGAAUAUUGCACAAUGGGCGCAAGCCUGAUGCAGCCAUGCCGCGUGUAUGAAGAAGGCCUUCGGGUUGUAAAGUACUUUCAGCGGGGAGGAAGGCGAUGUGGUUAAUAACCGCGUCGAUUGACGUUACCCGCAGAAGAAGCACCGGCUAACUCCGUGCCAGCCGCCGCAGUAA
Molecule: ribosomal RNA, 506 nt
Filed under: uncultured bacterium
Lineage: Bacteria
Description: partial 16S ribosomal RNA
Rfam family: Bacterial small subunit ribosomal RNA
Source: RNAcentral